RNAcentral lists this ribosomal RNA (334 nucleotides) under uncultured eukaryote. Its description in RNAcentral is "partial 18S ribosomal RNA". It matches the Rfam family "Eukaryotic small subunit ribosomal RNA", at positions 1470 to 1796 of the family's 1831-position model. The record is from RNAcentral.
CCCUUAGAUGUUCUGGGCCGCACGCGCGCUACACUGAAGGAAUCAGCGUGGCUUUCUCCCUGACCCGAAAGGGUUGGGAAACCCGUUGAAUCUCCUUCGUGAUAGGGAUUGGGGCUUGAAAUUGUUCCCCAUGAACGAGGAAUUCCCAGUAAGCGCGAGUCAUAAGCUCGCGUUGAUUACGUCCCUGCCCUUUGUACACACCGCCCGUCGCUACUACCGAUUGAACGGUUUAGUGAGGGCCUCGGAUUGGUCUCGGCCCGCUCUUUACCGGGCGGCGCCGUUGGUCGAGAAGACGCUCGAACUUGAUCGUUUAGAGGAAGUAAAAGGCGUAACA